RNAcentral lists this ribosomal RNA (497 nucleotides) under uncultured bacterium. Its description in RNAcentral is "partial 16S ribosomal RNA". It matches the Rfam family "Bacterial small subunit ribosomal RNA", at positions 28 to 507 of the family's 1533-position model. The record is from RNAcentral.
GAUGAACGCUGGCGGCGUGCCUAAUACAUGCAAGUCGAGCGAACGGACGAGAAGCUGGCGCCUCUGAUGUUAGCGGCGGAGGGGAGAGGAACACGUGGAUAACCUACCUAUAAGACUGGGAUAACUUCGGGAAACCGUAGCUAAGACCGGAUGAUAUUUUGAACCGCAUGGGGCAAAAGUGAAAGACGGUCGUUCGGUCGGUAAUAGAUGGAUCCGCGCUCCAUUCGUUAGUUGGUAAGGUAACGGCUUACCAAGGCAACGAUGCAUAACCGCCCUGAGCGGGUGAUCCGCCACCCUGGCACUGAGACACGGUCCCGACUCCUACGCUGGGCCGCGGCCCGGACUCUUACGCAAUGCGCGAAAGCGUAACGGAGCAACGCCGCCUGAGUGCUGAACGUCUUCGGAUCGUAAAGCUCUGUUAUCCGGGAAGAACAUAUGUGUAAGUAACUGUGCACAUAUUGACGGUACCUAAUCAGAAAGCCCCGGCUAACUCCGUG